UGGGGAAUUUUGCACAAUGGAGGAAACUCUGAUGCAGCGACGCCGCGUGAGUGAUGAAGAUCUUCGGAUUGUAAAACUCUGUCCUUAAUGAAGAUAAUGACAGUAACUAAGAAGCAAGCCCUGGCUAAAUACGUGCCAGCAGCCGCGGUAAUACGUAUGGGGCAAGCGUUGUCCGGAAUUAUUGGGCGUAAAGGGUACGUAGGCGGUUUAAUAAGUCCUAAUUAAAAGGCUAUGGCUCAACCAUAGUAUGGUUAGGAAACUGUUGAACUUGAGUAGAUGAGGGGAAAGUGGAAUUCCAUGUGUAGCGGUGAAAUGCGUAGAUAUAUGGAGGAACACCAAUGGCGAAGGCAACUUUCUGGAAUCAAACUGACGCUGAGGUACGAAGGCGUGGGGAGCAAACAGG
RNAcentral lists this ribosomal RNA (403 nucleotides) under Fusobacteriota bacterium. RNAcentral describes it as "Fusobacteria bacterium partial 16S ribosomal RNA". It matches the Rfam family "Bacterial small subunit ribosomal RNA", at positions 355 to 776 of the family's 1533-position model. Lineage: Bacteria; Fusobacteriati; Fusobacteriota. The record is from RNAcentral.